CUUGAACUCAGGUAUAUAAAAUUCCCUAUUGUUAAUUACCGUACAGUAGUAAUAGGUAAGAAUUGAAUAGUCAAUUCCAUUCUUUCUAUAUAUCAACAAUAAAUUUCAUGUUUAGGUGUGAAACUUUAAAAUUGAUUAAAAUACACUGGUUGUUGUAGAAUCGAUUGUUUGACUGGUGUCAAUUAGACUAGGGUCUACGUAUUGGCUCGAGAAGUUUUGAGGUGAGUUAAUAUAACACUUUACUAAAGUGGUUUAACUCACAAAAGCACGCACGCAAGGUGUUUGAUUAAUUGCAUAAAAGAGUUAAUAUAUAUUUAAUUGGAGUAGUAAGUACCUAUUAACUUAGAAUUAUUUUCUAGCUAAAGUUUAGAUGAUUAUUUGGAUAUAUGUGCAUAAAUUUCAGAUUUUUAUGUUAUUCUUAUAUGCCAUCUUCAUGUUGAAAAUUCAUGAAGUAUCAAGAACCUUUAUAAAUACUUUUGAAUGUUUAUUCCAUUCUUAUGCCAUGACUUACAUUUAAGGAUAUCAGUAUGAGUAUGUAUAAAAGAUUUAGACUUGCAAAGUCACAAGAAGAAGUUUUAGAAAGAAAAGAUUUUUGGAAGUAUCCUUUAUUCUGAGAAGGGGUCAUCGUCCAGGCCUAGGGUCCUGACCAAGGCGUUGACUUCUGAAACUACUUGUGCCAAAGUAGGGAGCACACGAGCCAAGGGUCUCGUUGCUGAGAAUUUACUUAGUCAUGCUAAGGUAUGAGACAUGAGCGCUGAGAACUCGUGGAUUGGGCCUAUUCGAUCAGGUUGGGAUCGAACCCGUGCCGAUCACAUGGUGACUGAGGCAGAAUUAAGUCAGCAUAGUUGGAACUCCCAAAGUAUAAAGUGGAGUAUAUUUUUUUUUAGAAAGAAAAAAAAAGAAUUUCUUUUAGAAUAUUCAAAAACUGCUAUUAUGCAAUUAUUUAGAAUUAUUCUUAUAAGCUUUAUGUUUUACAUGCAUUUAGAACCUUUGCUCAUAAUGUAUAUGUUAUUAAAGUUUCGCCCCCUAUUGUUGAGACUCACUGAGUACAAUGGAUGGUACUGACGUUCUCUUUUGGGAACCUACGUUGGUCUGCGGUACAACGUAGGAACCAGAUUUGCAGGCGAGCAGGCUACGAGUUAGGACUUCCUUCUCUUCCAGUGCUAUUGGUGAGCUCCGCUUUUGUUCGUGGAGUAUUCCUUAGAGUCAUCUUUAUUUAGUUAUUUCUUUGUUACUUAGAGAACUAGCCAGGAAAUCUUAUGUCCUGAGCAGUGCNNN
Molecule: long non-coding RNA, 1278 nt
Filed under: Nicotiana tabacum (common tobacco)
Lineage: Eukaryota; Viridiplantae; Streptophyta; Magnoliopsida; Solanales; Solanaceae
Description: long non-coding RNA (NTAB_LNC006714)
Source: RNAcentral